This 793-nucleotide long non-coding RNA is filed under the name Mytilus galloprovincialis (Mediterranean mussel). Lineage: Eukaryota; Metazoa; Mollusca; Bivalvia; Mytilida; Mytilidae. The record is from RNAcentral.
UUGUUCUUUACUGGGAUUGUUGAACACAUAAUACUGUCUUGUAACAAUAUUUGCCAGAAAUAUUUGAUUUACAAUGUUUGCACUAUAGAAGUAAUGGAAAGCAAUACACAUAAUACUAUCAAAUUCUAAAAAUGCGAUAUUUCAUUUUUUGCAACAACUGGCUCAUUAUAUUUUUUGCCAGAAAUAUUCAAUUUACAGUAUUUGCUCUAUAGAAGUAAUGGAUGAACUUCUGCUGACAAGUAUACUUAUCUACAUCAACAUAUUUUAAGUUAUAAUUUUUCCGUAUUUACAUACAUUGUAUUGAAGAGUGUGCUCCUGAGAGAAUUGUACAAAAAUUUACUGUAAAUAUCAUAUAAAUUAUAUAUACAUAAUCUCCACAAAACUUUAUAUAUAUCUUGCCUAACUGCACAACAAUAUUUGAUAUUAUAUAAGGACAUUCAGUCUCUAUACACAUUUUAUGAUUUUAAAAUGAAAUUUGUUUAUUUGUAAUAAAAGCCCUAGUAUGAUAGCAUUAUGAAUGCUGGUGAUUGGAAGAAUAAUCAUAAGAAUUUUUGGUUGCUUUGUAGGUCUUUUUCUUAAUUUGUGGCUUCACUCAGAAUUUCUUGUCAAAUGCACAAUCUCUUCUGCAUUCCUGUGGACCUCAAGAAAAAUUAAAUUCAAUUUGAUUCAUUUAAUGUUGAUCAAAUGAAAUGUCUUUUGCAGAACCCUAGCUAAUCAUUUAUCUGGAUGAUUUUUGGUCUAGAUCACCAGAAAUAUAAUGGUAGACCUACAUUUUUUGUCGAGCCUUCAAUUU